This 590-nucleotide ribosomal RNA is filed under the name uncultured haloarchaeon. RNAcentral describes it as "bacterial SSU rRNA". It matches the Rfam family "Archaeal small subunit ribosomal RNA", at positions 332 to 921 of the family's 1478-position model. Lineage: Archaea; Methanobacteriati; Methanobacteriota; Halobacteria; Halobacteriales; Halobacteriaceae. The record is from RNAcentral.
GCAGCAGGCGCGAAACCUUUACACUGCACGCCAGAGCGAUAAGGGGAUCCCAAGUGCGUAGGCAUAGAGCCUACGCUUUUGUCCACCCUAGGGUGGUGGACGAAUAAGGGCUGGGCAAGACCGGUGCCAGCCGCCGCGGUAAUACCGGCAGCCCGAGUGAUGGCCGAUCUUAUUGGGCCUAAAGCGUCCGUAGCUGGCCGCACAAGUCCAUCGGGAAAUCCACCUGCUCAACAGGUGGGCGUCCGGUGGAAACUGUGUGGCUUGGGACCGGAAGGCGCGACGGGUACGUCCGGGGUAGGAGUGAAAUCCCGUAAUCCUGGACGGACCGCCGAUGGCGAAAGCACGUCGCGAAAACGGAUCCGACAGUGAGGGACGAAAGCUAGGGUCUCGAACCGGAUUAGAUACCCGGGUAGUCCUAGCCGUAAACACUGCCUGCUAGGUGUGGCACCCACUACGAGUGGGUGCUGUGCCGUAGGGAAGCCGCUAAGCAGGCCGCCUGGGAAGUACGUCCGCAAGGAUGAAACUUAAAGGAAUUGGCGGGGGAGCACUACAACCGGAGGAGCCUGCGGUUUAAUUGGAGUCAACGCCGG